UACGUAGGGAGCAAGCGUUGUCCGGAAUCAUUGGGCGUAAAGCGCGCGUAGGUGGUCCCGUAAGUCCGCUGUGAAAGUCAAAGGCUCAACCUUUGAAAGCCGGUGGAUACUGUGGGACUAGAGUACGGAAGAGGCGAGUGGAAUUCCUGGUGUAGCGGUGGAAUGCGCAGAUAUCAGGAGGAACACCAAUAGCGAAGGCAGCUCGCUGGGACGUUACUGACGCUGAGACGCGAAAGCGUGGGGAGCGAACAGG
Molecule: ribosomal RNA, 253 nt
Filed under: uncultured bacterium
Lineage: Bacteria
Description: partial 16S ribosomal RNA
Rfam family: Bacterial small subunit ribosomal RNA
Source: RNAcentral